Molecule: ribosomal RNA, 1155 nt
Filed under: uncultured bacterium
Lineage: Bacteria
Description: bacterial SSU rRNA
Rfam family: Bacterial small subunit ribosomal RNA
Source: RNAcentral
CUCUACGGGAGGCAGCAGUGGGGAAUCUUCCGCAAUGGGCGAAAGCCUGACGGAGCAACGCCGCGUGAGUGAGGAAGGCCUUCGGGUCGUAAAACUCUGUCUUCAGGGAAGAAAAAAAUGACGGUACCUGAGGAGGAAGCCCCGGCUAACUACGUGCCAGCAGCCGCGGUAAAACGUAGGGGGCGAGCGUUGUCCGGAAUUACUGGGCGUAAAGGGCGCGUAGGCGGUUAUUUAAGUCAGAGGUGAAAACUACCGGCUCAACCGGUAGCCUGCCUUUGAAACUGGAUGACUUGAGGGCAGGAGAGGGGAGUGGAAUUCCCAGUGUAGCGGUGAAAUGCGUAGAUAUUGGGAGGAACACCAGUGGCGAAGGCGGCUCUCUGGCCUGUUUCUGACGCUGAGGCGCGAAAGCGUGGGGAGCAAACGGGAUUAGAUACCCCGGUAGUCCACGCCGUAAACGAUGGGUGCUAGGUGUAGGAGGUAUCGACCCCUUCUGUGCCGUAGUUAACACAAUAAGCACCCCGCCUGGGGAGUACGGCCGCAAGGUUGAAACUCAAAGGAAUUGACGGGGGCCCGCACAAGCGGUGGAGCAUGUGGUUUAAUUCGACGCAACGCGAAGAACCUUACCAGGGCUUGACAUCCUCUGACCGCAUAUGAAAGUAUGUUUUCUGGCUUCGGUCAGACAGAGAGACAGGUGGUGCAUGGUUGUCGUCAGCUCGUGUCGUGAGAUGUUGGGUUAAGUCCCGCAACGAGCGCAACCCCUACGUUUAGUUGCUAACGUGUAACGAUGAGCACUCUAGGCGGACUGCCGUUGACAAAACGGAGGAAGGUGGGGAUGACGUCAAAUCAUCAUGCCCCUUAUGUUCUGGGCUACACACGUGCUACAAUGGCCGGUACAAAGGGACGCAAAGCCGCGAGGUGGAGCAAAUCCGAUAAAAGCCGGUCUCAGUUCGGAUUGCAGGCUGCAAUUCGCCUGCAUGAAGUCGGAAUCGCUAGUAAUCGCAGGUCAGCAUACUGCGGUGAAUACGUUCCCGGGCCUUGUACACACCGCCCGUCACACCACGAAAGCGAGCAACACCCGAAGCCGGUGACUUAACCUGAAAAGGAGAGAGCUGUCGAAGGUGGGGUUGGUGAUUGGGGUGAAGUCGUAACAAGGUA